This 115-nucleotide non-coding RNA is filed under the name uncultured eukaryote. The record is from RNAcentral.
GACGAUGUGGAAGUCAGCCCAGCUGCGCUCCCACACCUUUAAGUGCUCCUCCAACACCAUCAGGAGCACUAAGUUGGCUUCGUCCAACGCCAGCUCGGAGGACGCGACCGACUGC